Molecule: transfer RNA, 41 nt
Filed under: Reyesia parviflora
Lineage: Eukaryota; Viridiplantae; Streptophyta; Magnoliopsida; Solanales; Solanaceae
Description: partial tRNA-Leu
Source: RNAcentral
AAUCCGUCGACUUUAAAAAUCGUGAGGGUUCAAGUCCCUCU